This 675-nucleotide ribosomal RNA is filed under the name uncultured bacterium. Its description in RNAcentral is "bacterial SSU rRNA". It matches the Rfam family "Bacterial small subunit ribosomal RNA", at positions 824 to 1502 of the family's 1533-position model. The record is from RNAcentral.
CGGUACCUCUCAUGGUUUCGCGGCCGAAGGUAAACUGAUAAGUGUGCCGCCUGGGGAGUACGGUCGCAAGGCUAAAACUCAAAGGAAUUGACGGGGGCUCACACAAGCGGUGGAGCAUGUUGCUUAAUUCGGGGCAACGCGAAGAACCUUACCUAGGCUUGACAUGUAUGGAUUAGCAUUAUGAAAGUUUUGUGACACUCUUGAGUGGAACAUACACAGGUGCUGCAUGGCUGUCGUCAGCUCGUGCUGUGAAGUGUCGGGUUAAGUCCCUUAACGAGCGCAACCCCUAUCGUUAGUUACUAACGCGUUAUGGCGAGGACUCUAGCGAGACUGCCGGUGUCAAACCGGAGGAAGGUGGGGAUGACGUCAAGUCAGCAUGGCCCUUAUGCCUAGGGAUGCAAACGUGCUACAAUGGCACGGACAAAGCGAUGCAAUACCGCGAGGUGGAGCAAAUCGCAAAAACCGUGCCCCAGUCCGGAUAGCAGGCUGAAAUUCGCCUGCUUGAAGCCGGAAUCGCUAGUAAUCGCGUAUCAGCUACGACGCGGUGAAUACGUUCCUGAGCCUUGUACACACCGCCCGUCAAGUCAUGGAAGCUGUUAGUGCCCGAAGUCACCUCGUUUCAGGGGUGCCUACGGCAAGAAUGGUGACUGGGACUAAGUCGUAACAAGGUAGCCG